CUUAUGGCAUAAAGAUAACGUUAGAUCACCGUUAGAUCACCGAAGUUAAGCAUCAUUGGGCGCGGUCAGUACUUGGGUGGGUGACCACCUGGGAACACUGCGUGCCGUU
Molecule: non-coding RNA, 109 nt
Organism: Caerostris darwini
Lineage: Eukaryota; Metazoa; Arthropoda; Arachnida; Araneae; Araneidae
Source: the annotation of a GenBank genome assembly